ACACGGGGGAUGCGAGCGUUAUCCGGAUUUAUUGGGUAUAAAGGGAGCGUAGGUGGGAUAUUAAGUCAGCUGUGAAAGUUUGGGGCUCAACCUUAAAAUUGCAGUUGAUACUGGUUUCCUUGAGUACGGUAUAGGUGGGCGGAAUUCGUGGUGUAGCGGUGAAAUGCUUAGAUAUCACGAAGAACUCCGAUGGCGAAGGCAGCUCACCGGGCCGGAACUGACACUGAUGCUCGAAAGUGCGGGUAUCAAACAGGAUUAGAUACCCUGGUAGUCCGCACAGUAAACGAUGAAUACUCGCUGUUUGCGAUACACUGUAAGCGGCCAAGCGAAAGCGUUAAGUAUUCCACCUGGGGAGUACGCCGGCAACGGUGAAACUCAAAGGAAUUGACGGGG
Molecule: ribosomal RNA, 393 nt
Filed under: uncultured bacterium
Lineage: Bacteria
Description: partial 16S ribosomal RNA
Rfam family: Bacterial small subunit ribosomal RNA
Source: RNAcentral